RNAcentral lists this unclassified non-coding RNA (311 nucleotides) under uncultured Agaricales. RNAcentral's name for it is "sequence contains 5.8S rRNA gene, ITS2, 28S rRNA gene". The stretch from base 1 to 52 matches the Rfam family "5.8S ribosomal RNA", at positions 103 to 154 of the family's 154-position model. Lineage: Eukaryota; Fungi; Basidiomycota; Agaricomycetes; Agaricales. The record is from RNAcentral.
AACGCACCUUGCGCUCCUUGGUAUUCCGAGGAGCAUGCCUGUUUGAGUGUCAUGAAAUUCUCAACCUUUCUUGCUUUUUGUGUGAAAGGAUUGGAUGUGGAAGAUUGCGGGCUUCGUUCAGAGGCCAGCUCUUCUGAAAUGCAUUAGCAGGACUCCAUCGUCUUACCAGCCUUGGUAUGAUAAACUAUCUAUGCCUUUGCUGGAAAACGGCUACUUUGUAGUGUGAGUUCAGCUCCCCAGUCGUCCCUCAAAGGGACAGCUUUUUGACAAUCUUUGACCUCAAAUCAGGUAGGACUACCCGCUGAACUUAA